GUGGGGAAUAUUCCGCAAUGGACGAAAGUCUGACGGAGCAACGCCGCGUGAGUGAUGAAGGUUUUCGGACUGUAAAGCUCUGUUGUUUAGGACGAAAGUGCCUGUUGCGAACAGUUACAGGUAUUGACGGUACUGAACGAGGAAGCCACGGCUAACUACGUGCCAGCAGCCGCGGUAAUACGUAGGUGGCAAGCGUUGUCCGGAAUUAUUGGGCGUAAAGAGCAUGUAGGCGGGAAUCUAAGUCUGUUGUGAAAAUGCGGGGCUCAACCCCGUAUUGCGAUGGAAACUGGGUUUCUUGAGUGCAGGAGAGGAAAGGGGAAUUCCCAGUGUAGCGGUGAAAUGCGUAGAUAUUGGGAGGAACACCAGUGGCGAAGGCGCCUUUCUGGACUGUGUCUGACGCUGAGAUGCGAAAGCCAGGGUAGCGAACGGGAUUAGAAACCCGAGUAGUCC
This 450-nucleotide ribosomal RNA is filed under the name uncultured bacterium. Its description in RNAcentral is "partial 16S ribosomal RNA". It matches the Rfam family "Bacterial small subunit ribosomal RNA", at positions 354 to 796 of the family's 1533-position model. The record is from RNAcentral.